This 496-nucleotide ribosomal RNA is filed under the name uncultured bacterium. Its description in RNAcentral is "partial 16S ribosomal RNA". It matches the Rfam family "Bacterial small subunit ribosomal RNA", at positions 28 to 506 of the family's 1533-position model. The record is from RNAcentral.
GAUGAACGCUGGCGGCGUGCCUAAUACAUGCAAGUCGAGCGAACAGACGAGGAGCUUGCUCCUCUGACGUUAGCGGCGGACGGGUGAGUAACACGUGGAUAACCUACCUAUAAGACUGGGAUAACUUCGGGAAACCGGAGCUAAUACCGGAUAAUAUAUUGAACCGCAUGGUUCAAUAGUGAAAGACGGUUUUGCUGUCACUUAUAGAUGGAUCCGCGCCGCAUUAGCUAGUUGGUAAGGUAACGGCUUACCAAGGCGACGAUGCGUAGCCGACCUGAGAGGGUGAUCGGCCACACUGGAACUGAGACACGGUCCAGACUCCUACGGGAGGCAGCAGUAGGGAAUUUGCCGCAAGGGGCGAAAGCCUGACGGAGCAACGCCGCGUGAGUGAUGAAGGUCUUCGGAUCGUAAAACUCUGUUAUUAGGGAAGAACAAAUGUGUAAGUAACUAUGCACGUCUUGACGGUACCGAAUCAGAAAGCCACGGCUAACUACGU